CCCAGACAGCCAGGAUGUUGGCUUAGAAGCAGCCAUCAUUUAAAGAAAGCGUAAUAGCUCACUGGUCGAGUCGGCCUGCGCGGAAGAUGUAACGGGGCUAAACCAUGCACCGAAGCUGCGGCAGCGAACGUAUCACUUAAAGCGAUUCAGCGGAUUACGAUUGACGGAGCGAAGCGACGUCAAAGCGUAUACAAAGUCGAGUCGGUUUAAGGAUACGUUCGUUGGGUAGGGGAGCGUUCUGUAAGCCUGUGAAGGUGGCCUGUGAGGGUUGCUGGAGGUAUCAGAAGUGCGAAUGCUGACAUAAGUAACGAUAAAGCGGGUGAAAAGCCCGCUCGCCGGAAGACCAAGGGUUCCUGUCCAACGUUAAUCGGGGCAGGGUGAGUCGACCCCUAAGGCGAGGCCGAAAGGCGUAGUCGAUGGGAAACGGGUUAAUAUUCCCGUACUUGGUGUUACUGCGAAGGGGGGACGGAGAAGGCUAUGUUGGCCGGGCGACGGUUGUCCCGGUUUAAGCGUGUAGGCUGGUUUUCCAGGCAAAUCCGGAAAAUCAAGGCUGAGGCGUGAUGACGAGGCACUACGGUGCUGAAGCAACAAAUGCCCUGCUUCCAGGAAAAGCCUCUAAGCAUCAGGUAACAUCAAAUCGUACCCCAAACCGACACAGGUGGUCAGGUAGAGAAUACCAAGGCGCUUGA
This 689-nucleotide ribosomal RNA is filed under the name Salmonella enterica. RNAcentral's name for it is "partial 23S ribosomal RNA". It matches the Rfam family "Bacterial large subunit ribosomal RNA", at positions 1084 to 1693 of the family's 2925-position model. Lineage: Bacteria; Pseudomonadati; Pseudomonadota; Gammaproteobacteria; Enterobacterales; Enterobacteriaceae. The record is from RNAcentral. RNAcentral also lists the same sequence under 1 other name.